This 253-nucleotide ribosomal RNA is filed under the name uncultured bacterium. RNAcentral describes it as "partial 16S ribosomal RNA". It matches the Rfam family "Bacterial small subunit ribosomal RNA", at positions 524 to 776 of the family's 1533-position model. The record is from RNAcentral.
UACAGAGGGUGCAAGCGUUAAUCGGAAUUACUGGGCGUAAAGCGUGCGUAGACGGUUAUGUAAGUCGGGUGUGAAAGCCCCGGGCUCAACCUGGGAAUUGCAUCCGAAACUGCCUUGCUAGAGUAUGGGAGAGGGAAGUGGAAUUUCCGGUGUAGCGGUGAAAUGCGUAGAUAUCGGAAGGAACAUCAGUGGCGAAGGCGACUUCCUGGACCAAUACUGACGCUCAGGUGCGAAAGCGUGGGGAGCAAACAGG